UCCAGAGGUUUGUUUGUUGAGGUUGAUAUGACCCCUCAACUAAAACCUAACCCUUGUGUGAGCCUCUUGUGUGUAUAUAGUGUGUGCUAUCUGUGAUUGUGAUUGCUUUGCUUCUUAGGCUAGCUUAGACUUGCUUCCUGUGCAAGUUAGGUUUAGUUUAGACUAAUCCUUGUUUGCUUUCGCCCUCGUUGCGAUCCUUUCUCUCGCCCUCGUUGCGAUCGAG
This 223-nucleotide long non-coding RNA is filed under the name Lathyrus oleraceus (garden pea). RNAcentral's name for it is "Pisum sativum (pea) long non-coding RNA (PSAT_LNC000195)". Lineage: Eukaryota; Viridiplantae; Streptophyta; Magnoliopsida; Fabales; Fabaceae. The record is from RNAcentral.